GCCUCCUUAGCUCAGUGGUAGAGNNGUAGAGCACUCGCCUUGUAAGCGAAAGGUCGUCAGUUCAAUCCUGACAGGAGGCUCCG
Molecule: transfer RNA, 83 nt
Filed under: Mycobacterium sp.
Lineage: Bacteria; Bacillati; Actinomycetota; Actinomycetes; Mycobacteriales; Mycobacteriaceae
Description: tRNA-Thr
Rfam family: tRNA
About the family: Transfer RNA (tRNA) molecules are approximately 80 nucleotides in length. Their secondary structure includes four short double-helical elements and three loops (D, anti-codon, and T loops).
Source: RNAcentral